GGGUCUGCUGGGAAGGCAUCAUGCCAACCUUUCACCAUCAGUGAGCAUGUUCAGCAGAUUAAGAAGUAGGAGAAACUGACUAUUGAGCUCAAGAAGAAAACCUCUAUGGAGAUUUUCUUGUUGACUGGGCUCAUAGAUUCAGACCUGAAGUCAGGGAUAAUAUGGACAAUGGAGAUCCAUUUGAAAGAAGCUGCUUAACUUGGAGGAACAGGGAAACAGUGAGCAAGAGUAAGAUGUUUGUCCACCACCUGAUCCCUUGCUGAGAACAAAGUCUCCUCUUCACAGCCUGAAAACUGGGCAGGCUGGAAGCCAAUAGCAAUGUACAUGAAGAAAGUACAUCAGUAGUGAGAAAGAAAAUUGCUGCACUUCUUCAAUAAUCAUUUCCUUAGAUUUUUAGGUGCUGAGGACAAAGAGAAGACACACAUAAGGAGUGAGACAGAAGGUCUGAACUGGAAGGACAGAGACAGAUGGACAGAGCUGGAGAGGGGAUGAGCUGAAAAGACCGGUUUGAGAUAAGGAGAACAAAGGGAAGUAGAACUAAGACAAAAAGAUCUUGGCUGAGAAGUAAUGUAGAGUGGAAUAACUUAUGUAACAUAAGAGAGCAAUCUAGAGAAUGCAGGUGAAAAGAGGACAAAAGAAGAAGCUGGAAAGAACAGAAGGUGCAGGCAGGUUUCUCCUUAUCUUGGGACAGAAAAGGUCAUUUCUUAAUAGCAAUGCAAAAUUAGUCUGUUAAAAGGAACAGGCCUUUUCUUUUACAAACUUGGGUUUAAAUCACUUAGCAUUAAAAGGGUAGAAGCGAUUUCUUUCUCUCUGUAAUAAAGAUUGGAGUUCAUCUUUC
This is a non-coding RNA of Rattus norvegicus (Norway rat), 838 nucleotides long. The record is from RefSeq and is a predicted model, not a curated record. Lineage: Eukaryota; Metazoa; Chordata; Mammalia; Rodentia; Muridae.